RNAcentral lists this ribosomal RNA (498 nucleotides) under uncultured bacterium. RNAcentral's name for it is "bacterial SSU rRNA". It matches the Rfam family "Bacterial small subunit ribosomal RNA", at positions 28 to 534 of the family's 1533-position model. The record is from RNAcentral.
GACGAACGCUGGCGGCGUGCCUAACACAUGCAAGUCGAGCGGAGGUACUUGAGGAGUAAUCUGAGGGUACUUUAGCGGCGGACGGGUGAGUAACGCGUGAGCAACCUGCCUUUCACAGGGGGAUAAGGCGGCGAAAGCCGCUCUAAUACCGCAUGAGACCACGGGGAUGAUAUUCCAGGGGUCAAAGGAGCAAUCCGGUGAGAGAUGGGCUCGCGUCCGAUUAGGUAGUUGGUGAGGUAACGGCCCACCAAGCCAAUGAUCGGUAGCCGGCCUGAGAGGGUGAACGGCCACAUUGGAACUGAGAGACGGUCCAAACUCCUACGGGAGGCAGCAGUGGGGAAUAUUGGGCAAUGGGGGAAACCCUGACCCAGCAACGCCGCGUGAGGGAAGAAGGUUUUCGGAUUGUAAACCUCUGUUCUUGGAGAAGAGAAGAAGACGGUAUCCAAGGAGGAAGCCCCGGCUAACUACGUGCCAGCAGCCGCGGUAAGACGUAGCGUG